GACGAACGCUGGCGGCGUGCUUAACACAUGCAAGUCGAACGGAAAGGCCCUGCUUUUGUUGGGUGCUCGAUUGGCGAACGGGUGAGUAACACGUGAGUAACCUGCCCUUGACUUUGGGAUAACUUCAGGAAACUGGGGCUAAUACCGGAUAGGAGCUCCUGCUGCAUGGUGUGGGUUGGAAAGUUUCGGCGGUUGGGGAUGGACUCGCGGCUUAUCAGCUUGUUGGUGGGGUAGUGGCUUACCAAGGCUUUGACGGGUAGCCGGCCUGGGAGGGUGACCGGCCACAUGGGGACUGCGAUACGGACCAGACUCCUACGGGAGGCAGCAGUGGGGAAUAUUGCACAAUGGGCGGAAGCCUGAUGCAGCAACGCCGCGUGCGGGAUGACGGCCUUCGGGUUGUAAACCGCUUUCGCCUGUGACGAAGCGUGAGUGACGGUAAUGGGUAAAGAAGCACCGGCUAACUACGUG
RNAcentral lists this ribosomal RNA (468 nucleotides) under uncultured bacterium. RNAcentral's name for it is "partial 16S ribosomal RNA". It matches the Rfam family "Bacterial small subunit ribosomal RNA", at positions 28 to 507 of the family's 1533-position model. The record is from RNAcentral.